CUAAGUUUGAUGGCGACCGGCGCACGGGUGAGUAACACGUAUCCAACCUGCCGAUGACUCGGGGAUAGCCUUUCGAAAGAAAGAUUAAUACCCGAUGGCAUAGUUCUUCCGCAUGGUGGACUAUUAAAGAAUUUCGGUCAUCGAUGGGGAUGCGUUCCAUUAGGUUGUUGGCGGGGUAACGGCCCACCAAGCCUUCGAUGGAUAGGGGUUCUGAGAGGAAGGUCCCCCACAUUGGAACUGAGACACGGUCCAAACUCCUACGGGAGGCAGCAUG
This 274-nucleotide ribosomal RNA is filed under the name uncultured bacterium. Its description in RNAcentral is "partial 16S ribosomal RNA". It matches the Rfam family "Bacterial small subunit ribosomal RNA", at positions 79 to 353 of the family's 1533-position model. The record is from RNAcentral.